Molecule: ribosomal RNA, 253 nt
Filed under: uncultured bacterium
Lineage: Bacteria
Description: partial 16S ribosomal RNA
Rfam family: Bacterial small subunit ribosomal RNA
Source: RNAcentral
UACGUAGGGGGCGAGCGUUGUCCGGAAUUAUUGGGCGUAAAGAGCGUGUAGGCGGUUCGGUAAGUCUGCUGUGAAAUCCUGGGGCUCAACCCUGGACGUGCAGCGGAUACUGCCGGGCUAGAGGGGGGUAGAGGCGAGUGGAAUUCCGGGUGUAGCGGUGAAAUGCGCAGAUAUUCGGAGGAACACCAGUAGCGAAGGCGGCUCGCUGGGCCACAACUGACGCUGAGACGCGAAAGCGUGGGGAGCGAACAGG